UCGGGAAUUUUGGGCAAUGGGGGAAACCCUGACCCAGCAACGCCGCGUGAAGGAUGAAGUAUUUCGGUAUGUAAACUUCGAAAGAAUAGGAAGAAUAAAUGACGGUACUAUUUUAUAAGGUCCGGCUAACUACGUGCCAGCAGCCGCGGUAAUACGUAGGGACCAAGCGUUGUUCGGAUUUACUGGGCGUAAAGGGCGCGUAGGCGGUUCGCCAAGUCAGGUGUGAAAUCCCCGGGCUUAACCUGGGAAUUGCGCUUGAAACUAGCGGGCUUGAGUGUGGCAGAGGGGGGUGGAAUUCCACGUGUAGCAGUGAAAUGCGUAGAGAUGUGGAGGAACACCGAUGGCGAAGGCAGCCCCCUGGGUCAACACUGACGCUCAUGCACGAAAGCGUGGGGAGCAAACAGGAUUAGAUACCCCCGUAGUCCCUGAGCGGGCUGGCAAGGCGCAU
Molecule: ribosomal RNA, 448 nt
Filed under: uncultured bacterium
Lineage: Bacteria
Description: bacterial SSU rRNA
Rfam family: Bacterial small subunit ribosomal RNA
Source: RNAcentral